Long non-coding RNA from Gadus morhua (Atlantic cod), 1878 nucleotides. The record is from Ensembl. Lineage: Eukaryota; Metazoa; Chordata; Actinopteri; Gadiformes; Gadidae.
AUGUUUAUUUUCAGGUCCAUCCACACUCUCUGUAUUUUACUGAUGACAGCAACAGAGGGAUACUCCCUGGACCAGAGGGAGCUUUCAGUCUCACAGACCUCAAAGACGGUGGCCACUAUGAGGUACAAAGGGAGAGCACAGCUGAUCAAGGUUCUCAAGGUCAAAACCCUGCUGCUCGCUUUGCCUUUCGCCGCCCAUCCAGCAGUGCUCUCCCCGUUGCCUCAGGAGCUCUGCCUGCUCCCAGAGCUGUGGGUCCAAAGCUAAACACAAGUCAACAUGAGGACACAGACCUUCCCUUGGUCGUUGACCAAAUAGAGGAGGUCAUCCUCGCUUCUCAGGGUCUAAAAGAUGUAUCCAAGACGCUCCAAGACCUUGCAAAUUUUGCACAGGCAAACCGAAGGACAUCAAUAAGCCUGAGUAACAGCCAGGCGGCAGCUGUGAAGGCAGCAUUUGCCUGUAUCAUAUGUGGAGAUCCUAUGAAGGAGCCCAUAUUUGCCAGCUGCUGCAGAACCAUCCUGGGCUGCAGCAGCUGUGUGGAGCAAUGGCAGGUUAGCCACACCUACUGCCCUAAUUGCAGAGGUGGAGACUUUUACGGAGGCAACACGCAGCCAGUGGUGGGGCUGGACGAGGCACAUUUGUUCACCAAAUGUUCAUGUUUUGUUAGGUAUCAAUGUACUUUUCAUUUUUAUGUUUUAUUCUAUUUUAAAUUAAUUAUAACUAUUAUUAUGUGUUAAAAUGUUAUGUUAAAUGGUUAUUUGCCCAUUAAAUUGUAGUUCUUUCUGAAAAUCGUUCUAUUGUCAUUAAUUUUACAUACUAUUUUGUUUGGUUAUAAAAUAGUGAUUCACAUGUAGAUGGACAAAUGUAAAAUAUUUAGCAGCUGUCCGGUUAUGACAGUUCUAUAAAUCCCUCUCAAGCACUCCACUGUGAAAACGGCAGAUAAACACAUACAUUAUUAACAGCAUCAUUUAGAACAUUUACAGUUAAUCACACUUAACACUGAACAGUAUACACCGGCAGUCACACAUCCAUCAAAACAUUUCACACAUUCCUCUCCGGGGCAUUCAGCAGGCAGAAAAGGGCUUCAUGAAAUGCACUAUGGUCAUUGUUGACCACAUUGUCAAAAAUGACAGAGGGAUCAGGGUAGGUCACCGCAAAGUCCCUUUCUGCCUCAGUGUGAAAGGGGUCCACACCAAAGGCUGCCUCCCUGCUGUGAGAGCUUUCAAACUCCUGCUCAUAUCUGUCAGCAGCAACAGAAGCACUGGGUAGCAGGUCCUCCGAUAUCUGUGCUGGACAUCCUGCUGCAGCUAGUUCAUUAGGUAUUCCUCUACCUUGUAAAGGAAACAUUUUAAGCCAAAGUAAAAAAAAAUUAUAGCACAUUUCACAUUUCAAGACAUUUGAAAAUAAAAUAUAUAAUGGUUAAGAGAAUAGCAAAUAAAAAUAGGAUUUAAAAAUAUUAGUAGUACGUUUAUUUUGGGCCGAUAUGAUUCAUUCACAAUUUAUUUUUAGCAUACCUGGAAUCCUAUGUGCAUUCCAUGUCUGCACAACCCUGUCUAGCCCAAUCUGGCUGAGUUGGCACGUCAGGUUAGACACACAGAACUUCACUGUGUUGUCCUGCAUGUCUAUGGCCUCUUGGUCAGUCAGGUGCACCAGGGCUUGCUUCAGCUUCUCAUUUUGAUCUAUGUGCAGUUUAUGGCCCAUAUAUUCUGCAUGGUAGGGAAUGGGGUUCAGAUUACGAGCACCCUUUGAAAGGAAGAGAAGUAUAAUUAAAAUUAUUCUUGCUCCUGUGUUCCAUGAAUAUUAACUUUCGCUGUUCACUUACUCUAAGUUACUUACAUGUCUUCGCAAAUCGUGGUAUGGCUGAUGAACGUCUCGUAAGAC